ACAUAUAAUUGGACGACCAAAAGAAAUGUUUCCUUUGGCAGUCUUGUCCAACCGGAAAAGUUCAUUAAAUUAAAUGCGCAAAAGUUGAUGAAGACAAUAACAGGUAUACUAUAAAUUGACUCGUACCCAUGUAUGUGGAACCAGUGUCUUCUGGAAAAUACAAAUACGAUUUAACAUCAGUGAUCAAAGAAUGGAACUGUCAAAAAAUACAGCGUUUUUCAUCUUGAUUGGGAUGAUGCUUAUAACCAGAUGUUAUGGUUGUUCUUGCAAAGUUGCAUUUUCAUCGUACAUUACCGAAGCCAGUGCAAAUUCACAAAGUGCAUCUAUGACAGACGGAGCCAUAAUUAAAUUUGAUAGAAUCGAGGCAAAUUACGGACUGGGAUACAGUACCAAUACAG
This is a long non-coding RNA of Mytilus californianus (California mussel), 398 nucleotides long. RefSeq lists it as uncharacterized. The record is from RefSeq and is a predicted model, not a curated record. NCBI's taxonomy places the organism in Eukaryota, Metazoa, Mollusca, Bivalvia, Mytilida, Mytilidae. The transcript is spliced from 3 exons.